GGGGGCUGCUCUCAUUUGCUCUUCUCUCAUUUGGGUAGGAUCUUCAUAGUUCAGAAGGCUGUCUUCAUACAGAUUGGCUGGCAGUGAGCUCAUAUAUUUAUGUAAUUUUUUUUGCCUGGCAGCAGCAGAAGAGCACCAUAUAAUCAGCUCCCUCCUGUGCAGUCGAAUGCUGCUGUUGUCGAAGAGCCUUUGUCUUUCUUUGCUGGUCUGGCCACAUUAUGUUGGUUCUGCAGAAAUGUCAAGUCUCUCCAUUGUAUGAAUUAUGCUCUUGGGUAGGGCUGACGUCAGGAGGCAGUGGCUGAGCCUGGGUCUGCCUGCUGCUGAGGAUAUGUGCUGAAUUCACCUACAACAGCAGCGGAUUAACAGCAAGGGCUUGUCCUGCUGCUGACACAUGCAGUUACAUUCAUUGACUUGCAGGGGCUGAAGGACUGAACAGGAGGUUAGAGAGCAUUGAAAACAUACCAAAGCCACAGUGACAGGAAUCGUUGAGGUUACAUCUGUGAAGCUACAUAUGGAAAUGGACAAAUAAAAAGCCAAACAAGCUGGUGAUUUAUAAAACAAACAAUGUUUACAGCACUCCUUUCCAUUUUACUCUCCUUCUGCUAUUGGAGUUGAGAUCAUGUCUGUUCAUGUUGUAGCCUUUGGAAAUGAGAGAGAUGGAUUUUCUGAAGACAAUCAGCAAUCAAGUCUGAUCUGGACCUAUCUUGGGAGAAGUGCUCUCAUUUCAGAGACUGAAAGCAGUUUGCUGCUGAACUCUGCCAACCACAUUGGAAGCCCUUUGUUUACUGAAUAUCAAGCCUGUGUGUUUGGAAAUGUCAGACUGGUGGUGCAUGACUGUCCCCUUUGGGAUAUUUUUGACAGCGACUGGUACACCUCUCAAAAUCUUAUUGGAGGAGCUGAUAUCAUUGUGAUUAAAUACUCUGUAAAUGACAAAUCUUCAUUUCAAGAAGUAAAGGACAGUUAUGUUCCAAUGAUAAAAAGAGCAUUAAAUCAUUGUUCAAUUCCAGUCAUAAUUUCUGCUGUUGGUGCAAGAAAAAAUGAAGUACCUUGUACUUGUCCACUGUGCACUUUAGACAGAGGGAGCUGUGUUACUGCUUCUGAAGGGAUUCAACUCGCUAAAGAACUAGGAGCAACUUACCUUGAAUUGCACAGUCUCAGUGAUUUCUAUAUAGGAAAAUAUUUUGGAGGAGUGUUGGAGUAUUUUAUGAUCCAAAGCUUGAAUCAGAAGUCCUCUGAAAAAAUGAAGAAAAGAAAAAAAAGCCACAAGUGCCAUGGAGUUAAACCGCCUCAGCUUGAACAGCCAGAAAAAAUGCCAAUCUUAAAAGGUGAAGCCUCGCAUUAUAACUCCGAUUUACAUAACUUGCUGAUCUGCUGCCAGUGUGUGGAUGUGAUAUUUUACUCAGAAGAUUUAAAGGAAGUAGUAGAAGCACACAAGAUUGUUUUGUGCUCUGUAAGCCAUGUCUUCAUGUUACUUUUCAAUGUGAAGAGUCCAGCUGAUAUUCAGGAUUCCUCUAUCAUAAGGACUGCACAGACUCUCUUUGCAGUGAACAGUGAGGCUGUGUUUCCAGUUUCUAACCGAGGUUCACCAUGCGGCCCACCGGUUCGAGUCACUGUUAAAGACUCUUUCUUCUGUUUUUGUUUGUCAGACAUUCUGCACUUCAUUUAUUCAGGUGCUUUCCAAUGGGAAUUGUUGGAAGAAGAUAUAAAAAAGAAGUUGAAAGACCCAGGAGAAGUUGAGCUUGUGCUUGAGAAAGUUAAAUGUAUCCUGAAAACUCCAGGAAAGGUGAAUAGUUCAAAGAAUUGCAGAUCUCAUCAGACAGCAAGACCCUUGCAGUUAUGUGAUACUUCUCUCAGACUUUUCUUUAACACACAUGUGUUGGCUGAUGUCCUCUUCCAAAUACAAGGUGCUACUGUACCAGCCCACAGAGCAGUUCUAGUGGCUCGCUGUGAAGUAAUGGCAGCUAUGUUUAAUGGAAGUUAUAUAGAAGCAAAUAGUUUUCUGGUUCCAGUUUAUGGGGUUUCCAAAGAUACUUUCCUCUCCUUUCUAGAGUAUCUGUAUACUGAUUCUUGUUGUCCAGCCAGUAUUUUGCAAGCCAUGUCUCUCUUGAUUUGUGCUGAGAUGUACCAGGUAUCCAGACUCCAGCAUAUCUGUGAGCUUUAUAUCAUCACACAGCUGCAGAGUAUGCCUAGUAGGGAAUUAGCAUCUACAAGUCUUAGCGUUGUCAGCUUGCUCAGAAAAGCCAAGUUUCACAACUCUGACUGCCUUUCAACCUGGCUCCUUCAUUUUAUUGCCACUAACUACCUCAUCUUCAGUCAAAAGCCUGAAUUUCAAGAUCUUUCAGUGGAAGAGCGCAAUUUUGUUGAGAUGCACAGAUGGCCUUCCCAUAUGUACUUGAAACAGCUUGCAGAUUACAGGAAUUACAUCAACUCCCAGAAAUGCCACUGCAUAGUAAUGUAACCAGAAGAUUGAUUAUUCAUAAACUGGAGAAUCACAGGCUGGGAAUUACAUGGAGGCUAUUAAAACUGUAGCAGGGAUGAAAAUAAACAUUUAAGUCCUGCUGUACUCUAUAAUGUGCUUGCUAAUACUCUUUUCAUUAGUAAUGAAUUAAUGUGAUGUUUUAAAGGGAUUAAGAAAUAUACCAUAGGACAGCAUAAGGAGUUAAUCAGGCCUGGUCUACACUACAAAGUUAGGCGGAUGUAAACCGCAUGUGCAUGUCUAUACCUAAAUUUGUCUCUUAUUGAUGUAAGUGCCCCGUUAACAGCAAUGCAGUAACACUACCUCCCUGAGCAGCAUUAAGCCAUGGUUGAUGUACUGAGGUCGACGCAACACAAGUGUAAACACUGCGUUACUUAUAUGAAUUCUAACAGUCCUCCAGCAGCUGUUCCACAGUGUCUGACGCUAAUCUCUUUGGUCACAAUUGUGAAUGCCAUUGUCCAGGGGUCAUGGAGACUGGAAGGCCCUCCCUCUGUUUUAAAGCCCUGCAAAUUUUUGAAAUGGCUUUGCUUGAUUGUCCAACUGGAGAGCACACCUAGCAGCUCUCCAUUGUGUGCAACUGUGCAGCUGGCCAUGGCGGCUACAUGCUCCAGACACACUCCAGCUUGGAGUAGACAAGAGAUAUUGGAUCCUCUGGGCCUGUGGGGAGAAGAGGCUGUGUAAGCACAGCUACGGACCAGCCAUAGAAAAGUAAACAUCUAUGAGCAGAUUGCACAGGGGAUGUCGGAGGAGGAGUACAACAGGGGCCAGCAGCAGUGCUUUGUGAAAGUGAAGGAAUUUGGUCAGCCAUAUCGAGAGGCCAACAAUCAUUCUGGUGCUAACCUGCAGACCUGCCACUUUUACAAAGAGCUGCAUGCCAUAAUUGUCAGAGACGCUACUGAUAUCCCGCACAUAACCAUGGAUACCUUUGAGGACCCCAAGCCACAGGUCCCUGGCAUGAACAGCUAGGAGGAGGAUGGGGGACGUGCGACCAGGGAGCCAGGACCUGUUUUGAGACUCCACCGCAGUCCAGUCAGUCCCAGCAGUUGAGCACUGGUGAGCUCAAUGCAGGGGAAGGAACUUUGGCUGCUGCCAUUGCGGCUCUGAGAGGUUCCCCCCUCCGCACCUGAGGAAAAAAGCCUGAGCUAGAUGAGGAGAAAGAGGAGGACUCGGGAUGACAUGUUCAAUGAGAUCCUGCAAGCCAGUGCUGCGUGAGACCGUGAGAAAAGGGUCUGGAGGGUGAACAUUACAGACAGCCUGGGGAAGAUAAAAACGGAGAAGAGAGAGGCCCAGGAGUCCCAGCAGGAAAAGGAGAGGGAGAUGCACCAAGACAUAAUGGAGCUUCUCCAACAGCAAACAGAGAUGCUGCAGACUCUUGUGGGCUUAGUUUCAACAAUCCCAGGUUCUCCUCCCUUUGCAGUCCAUGGCAAACUCCAUAACAGCACCUCCCUAUGCUCUCCCACCCUACAUUCCAUGUGGUAUCAGGGGCUUUAUCCCUAUCCCUCCCACUCCACCCCAGCAGACAUUAAGGACAACCACAGCCUCACAAACUGAUCUGUGAAAUCCAUGGUUGCUGUAUAUGUAGAUUAAUGGACAGGAAUGUUCUUUCCACUGGUUUUUCUGUUUCAUUAAUUUAUUAAGUUUUUAAUGUAUUUGCUUUUAAAUUGCACAGAUUUUUCUUUGCACUGGUUUUGCUAGUGAAUAACAUUCUAUUUGGAAAAUAAUCUUUUAGUUCACAACACAUGCUUCAGAGUGCCUAGCAAUUCUGAAAGCACCUACUUAAUUAUUACUGUACAGUGUGGCACAACUCAUAGGAUCAGUGACAAACCGCAUAUAAUCAUAAAUGUACAGCAAGCACAACAAAAUUAAGAGGACAUUGACAGUGCUAUAUUCAUAGAUGUACACUACACCAUUCCUAACAGGCCCCAAAACAGCAGGGCCAGGUAGAGCAGAGUACACCACACGGUACUGUGGCUCACUGUUAAAAUGGUCUUCAAAGCCUCUCUGAGCUGUAUGGUUUGGUGUUGAGCUCUUCUAAUGGCCCUUGUGUUUCGCUGUUCUAACUCAGCAGACUGCCAGUCCACUCUGGCGGAAACUUUUCCCCCUUUGCUUCCCUGAGAUUAUGCAGGACACAGCAGGCAGCUAUAACCAUUGGGAUGUCUUUUUUUUUUUUUUUCACUGAGAUCCAGUCUUGAGUAAACAACACAGGCAUCCCUUCAGUCUUCCAGAAGUACAUUCAACUGUCUUUCUGCACCUGCUAAGCCAAUAGCAAAAUCUUUCCAUGGUGCUGUUGGGGUGGCCAGUGUACGGCUUCAUGAGCCAGGGGAGACAAGGGGUAGGCUGGGUCUCCCAGGAUUGCUAUUGGUAUUUCAACAUCACCAGUGGUAAUCUGCCAGUUGGGAAAGAAAGUCCCUGCUUGUAGCUUUCUGAACAGUCCUAUAUUUUUAAAGAUGCAAGCAUCAUGCACAUUCCUUGACCAGCCAAAGUUGAUGCCAGUGAGGAGAUCCUAGUGAUCCACCAAUGCUUGCACAACUAUAGAAAAGUAGCCCUUUCUGUUGAUGUACUCUGUGGCAAGAUGGGCUUGUGCCAAAAUAGGGAUAUGUAUGCUAUCUUUGCUUCACCACAGUUCAGAAAUCCCUUUACUGAAAAUCCUUCCAGCAUGUCCUGCACGUUGCUGAGUCACAGUACUGUAUAGCAAGAGUUGAUUAGUAGCCUUGCACACUUGCAUGACAGUGGCCCCCUUAGUGGAUUUUCCAACUCCAAAAUAAUUUUGCACUUACCAGUAGCAAUCUGACACUGCAGGUUUCCACCGUGCAAUCACUACUCUCUUCUCCACCAUCAGUGCAGUUCUCAUUUUGAUGUCCCUAUAUUGGAGGGCUGAGGCAAGCUUGGCACACAGAUUCAGGAAUAUGGCCUUGCGCAGCCGAAAGUUCUGCAGCCGCUGCUCAUCAUCCUACGCCUACAUUAUGAUGUGAUCCUACCAGUCAGUGCUCAUUUCUUGGUUCCAGAAGUGGUGCUCUACCAGUUUGAACACCAGCAACAACCUUGAAUUUGUUCUUGCUAUGUCCCAGAGCAAUCUGUGCUCCAAGAUACUGUUGUGUUCCCUGCUUAUUCGUGGAUGUUAUGGCUCUGCAAACAUCGGAAGAUCAUGCGUCCUGUGCUUGCAACGCUUGUGACAAUAGUGCAGAGCUGUGCAAGUGCCAUGCUUCUGUCAGAAAUGGUGGACAGUGAGGAGGGCUGCAUAGGUUCAUGGGGAAAAAGGCAUGAAAAUUAUGGGAUAUAGAUAACAUUAUGGCAUGGAUUGAAUAAAAACAAUUGCAAACUGGCCCAUUGCCCCCAGUCACUGCUCUUGAUGUGUUUCUGCCCCACCAUACAUUGCCAAAACAUCCUAAAAGACAGUGAAUUGGACAAUAGUGGGUUGCACUGAGAUACCUACCCUGCAUUGACACCAGCACUCGUGAGUUUGUGUAAUACUUACACAAGCAGCCAAGUAUGCAUACACAUGAGUGAUGUACUAACAAUGGUGGCUUUAUGCUGAUGUAACUUGCGUCAACCAAAGUUUGCAGUGUAGACAUGGUCUCUGUUGUUUAGCUGCAACCUGUUUUCCCUAAGGAUUCUUUGCUGCAAUACUGGUGGUUUCAACUUAUAGAUGAGGUGUUGAAAACAUUUUAACUGCAUAAGUUGCCCUUACAAUCAUGUGAACUGGUAUUUUCUCUCUAGCUAGGUGCUUAUAUGGCCCCAUCGUUGUACUGUCUGAGCGCCUCCUGUGUAUUUAAAAAUAGAAAUAACAAUCUUCCCAACCUGUAGGAGAAAAAGCUGGUUUAAUUUCUAGGGGUGUGUGUGUGUGUGUGUGUGUGUGUGUGUGUGGAAAUUAAGGGAAAGUAAAGGCAAAGAAGAAAUUUGUAUUCAAUUGUGAAAGGUAUGAAGUCAACAGUCAUCCUUAUCUGUUGCAGGAGAAAAUUCCAUAGCAUAGGAAACUUUCCUGAGAAAGUUCUGUCUCCCACAGUCAAACUUCCCCCCUCUUGGUUGACAGUUAAAUCAUUUCAGCUGAACCCAACUGCCAAGGGGAUCAUAUUCACAAAGAAAGAGGUAGCCAUGGCCAGUUCUAUGGAGAACUUUGACUACCAGAACAAACCUAGAACUCAACUCUGUUCAACCGUAAGCCUUUGCAGAGAGCGCAUUAGCCCAGUGUAUUCAUGGUGACCUGUGUUUCUGAGCAGUUGGGUUGCUCCAUGUUGUACUAAUUGGAUUGGUUCAGGUUGUGUGGAUUCAUUUUUUGAUAUGAGCCAAAAUAAUUAAGCCUGGAGAUCUUAAAUAGGAUCACCAUAGUUUUGUGCGAUAUUUUGGUGAGGCAUAGAUGAGUGAGUGGCUUUUUUUCAACUAUUGAUGUAUAGACAUUCAAUAGCACUGAGUCUAAAAGGAGCCCCAGGCUCAGACCAUCUUAACAAUUGAAGGAUAGAGGUCUACAAUAGCAGGAAUUUUAUGCAGGAAGCAAGUUCUUCAAAGUGGUUCCCUCUGCCUAUCAGCAAAACCACAAUCUUAUUUAGGGUCAGCUUUAGCCAACUGUUCUUGUAUUGUAGGGAGUGGUGUGUGUAAUAUGUCAGUGUUUGGUCCUAGAGGGACAAUGUAAAAAAAAAGGAAGAUUAAUGAAAAGGUUACUUAGUCCUGAAAACAAGGCAGGAUGAACCAUUUUAAAGGCACCUGCAGAAAAAUUUGCUGCCAGGCGAAGGUGAGACCCACCAUAUUAACUAGUAUCUAUACUAUUCUGUUAAUAAAGAGGAGGAGUUUUUGUAUCUCUACACAGUUAUUCUUUUGGGAAUUACACACUAGAACGAUAAGGGAUUUUCUUCUGGUGCAGUUUUAGAGGUCCAGAUAGCGUUCCCUAUUUUGGGACAAAAAUAAUGGUACUCCGCUGGCUCCAGAUAUCGAAGGUUAGCUCAGUUAGGAAUGUUAAUUAAUAGUAUUUAUAUAUAGCUUUGUGUCUGAAGAUCUAAGAGAGCUUAACAAAUGUGAGCAGCAUUAUUAUCUUUGUUUCACAGAUGAGGAAGACCGAAACAGCGAGUGGUUGAGAUUUGUUCAAGAUCAGAUUGCUAGUCAGUGACAGAACUUGGAAUAGCACAUUGUCUCCGGCAAGGAAUAAAACAGAUGAGUCUGCUACCAUGGAGAAAGAGAUGUUAAAGGUGGAAUAAAAAUGGUCAUACAUUAAAGUGGAAACAAAAUAUGCAUAUAAUUGAAAAAAAAAGUAAAAAAGAUUUAACUACCUCCCUAUUUCCUAAUGUUUGUAUCUGUUGCAGUAGAAAUUAAAAAUUCUAGAUGUAGAUCAGCUGGAUGAAUGACAAAUUUUGAAGUUUUGAAAGCUUAAGGCCAUCAGCAAAAAUGAGUACAGAAUUGUAAGUCUAAUUUGCAUGAACAAUUACUUAACAUGCUCUGUCACAGAAUCUGCACCUACAACUGGCCAGUUUAAUCAUUUAACUUGUGUUUGUAUGCACAAAUACUAAAUUCAUGUGUGCAGUCAUGGUAAUUACAUAUACAAAUUGUGUGUGUGAAUGUUUGCCCAUAUUGCAUGUGGCCCUAGGUGUUUAAUAUUUUGAAAAUCUGAUUUGCUACGUUAGAAUUUCUUGCCAGUAACUCAAUGUAGUGGGAUAUUUAUUUUCAUGAAGGAGAUUUCAUAAAUCCUUUUUCCCAUUAAUAGCUUUAAAAAAAAAAAAAAAGUAAAAUGGAAAUAUGAACUGUUUCUGUGGACCAGAAAAUAUUUUAUGGUAUUGUCUAUUUAUUUUAGUCUUUUGUGUUAAUCAUCCACAAACACUUUAUAUAGUGAGGCCAAGCAAUGUGAGGAGACAUUUAUCCAUAGAUUUAUAACUUGCUAAUUACUCAAACACAAAAUAUCUUUCCAUUCUUCGCAGGUGUCCCUAUUAUGUUACCUAUAUCAGGUGGAGACACUAGGUCAAACCCAGAAUGCUGUGAUAAUUUGAGAAAAUGAGUGAUUUCUCCACACAAACAGAAUAACAAAUGGAUGCUUUUCUUUAGAAAUGUGCUUUUUUAAUUUAAAAUCUAUGCCUUAGAUAUAGGUUUUGCUAACGCUAUCUCGUUACUUAGGUACAAUUCAGAAAUCCAUAUAUGAUAUUCAGAAGUUAGUCAAAGCACCACUGAAUUUGAUCUAUGUGACUUUACAUGUAUAUUUUUGCAUUGAUUUAAAUUAAAAAUUAGGAAGUUCCUGAAAACUUGAUUCAAACAAUUAAAAGAUCUGAAAAUAUUAAAAUAGCUUAGAAAAGGAAAACCAGUACAUUAGUUUAGGAAAGUAACUCUCUUUGGGUUUUGUAUCGGCAAUCAAGUCCAUUUUUAAGAGAGCUGUUCUGCUAAUAACUUGCUCUUUUCUUCUGAAGUACGAUCAUCACUUCUUAUCAGUUUAAUGUAUGGUAUAGUAGUAUUCAAGGAUCUAUUCUUUUAUAACUGCUUUGAAUUCAUAUUGAGAGACUAGACCUCUACCUUGUUAGUGAAUCCUGUUAACAACAUUGUUACACACCUUUUUUCCAUGUUUGUUUAUGAUACAUGUACACUUACAUCAAGCCAGUAUGGAGGCUUAUAUUGAGGCUAACAUAGGAAGUCGUCUGUCUUAAGAAACAUUAAUUUCCACAGGACAGAGUGUCUCUGCUGUAGUCUUUAAAUCUUGGUGAACAAGGUAAGAAUGUUUAGGAGAAAAUAACUUAUUUUACCAAGGCAUGUGCUGAAAUUCAGCUUUUGAUAUUUUCAUAAGUUAUGGAAUGGUAUUUUCUCUUUGACUAAAAUUUACAAUUUAUAGAUUUAGUAUUUAAACACUUUGUAACAAAACAAUAAACAUUUUUACUGCAUCUCAA
Molecule: RNA transcript, 9327 nt
Organism: Malaclemys terrapin pileata
Lineage: Eukaryota; Metazoa; Chordata; Testudines; Emydidae
Gene: RHOBTB3
Gene name: Rho related BTB domain containing 3
Exons: 13
Source: RefSeq, a predicted model, not a curated record